AUGUACUUAGCCAGUGCUACAAGACCUGACAUCUCUUUUGUUGUUAGCAAACUGAGUCGGUUUGUCUCAAAACCAAGAGAUGUGCAUUGGAAAGCUCUAGAGAGAGUUUUGCGUUAUUUGAAAGGCACUGCGAAUUAUGGAAUUCACUACACUGGGCACCCAAAGGUGCUUGAAGGGUAUAGUGACUCAAAUUGGAUCUCAGAUGCUGAUGAGAUAAAGGCCACGAGCGGUUAUGUAUUCACUCAUGGAGGUGGCGCUGUUUCUUGGAAGUCUUGCAAGCAGACCAUCUUAACGAGGUCAACAAUGGAAGCAGAACUCACAGCACUAGAUACAGCUACGGUCGAAGCAGAUUGGCUUCGUCGGCUCUUGAAUGACUUGCCGGUUGUUGAGAAACCCGUACCGGGUAUCCUUAUGAACCGCGACAAUCAAACUGUGAUCACGAAAGUGAGCAGCUCAAAGGAUAACAUGAACUCAUCAAGACACGUUCAGAGAAGGUUAAAGUCUGUCAGGAAAAUGAAAAACUCCGGAGUUAUUGCAUUGGAUUAUAUCCAAACGUCUAAAAAUCUGGCAGAUCCUUUUACUAAGGGUCUAUCACGUAAUGUGAUAGAUAAUGCAUCGAGGGAGAUGGGUAUGAAACCCACAAUAUGA
Molecule: ribosomal RNA, 648 nt
Filed under: Triticum aestivum (bread wheat)
Lineage: Eukaryota; Viridiplantae; Streptophyta; Magnoliopsida; Poales; Poaceae
Description: partial small subunit ribosomal RNA
Source: RNAcentral